CCUACGGGUGGCAGCAGUGAGGAAUAUUGGUCAAUGGGCGCGAGCCUGAACCAGCCAAGUAGCGUGAAGGAUGACUGCCCUACGGGUUGUAAACUUCUUUUAUAAAGGAAUAAAGUGAGGCACGUGUGCCUUUUUGUAUGUACUUUAUGAAUAAGGAUCGGCUAACUCCGUUCCAGCAGCCGCGGUAAUACGGAGGAUCCGAGCGUUAUCCGGAUUUAUUGGGUUUAAAGGGAGCGUAGAUGGGUUGUUAAGUCAGUUGUGAAAGUUUGCGGCUCAACCGUAAGAUUGCAAUUGAUACUGGAAGUCUUGAGUACAAGUGAGGUAGGCGGAAUUCGUGGUGUAGCGGUGAAAUGCUGAGAUAUCACGAAGAACUCCGAUUGCGAAGGCAGCUUACUAAACUGCCACUGACAUUGAUGCUCGAAAGUGUGGGUAUCAAACAGGAUUAGAUACCCGAGUAGUC
Molecule: ribosomal RNA, 460 nt
Filed under: uncultured bacterium
Lineage: Bacteria
Description: partial 16S ribosomal RNA
Rfam family: Bacterial small subunit ribosomal RNA
Source: RNAcentral